UACGGGGGGAGCAAGCGUUUGUUCGGAUUUACUGGGCGUAAAGCGCGUGUAGGCGGCUCGAUAAGUCUGCUGUGAAAGUCCAAGGCUCAACCUUGGGAUGCGGGGUGGAUACUGCCGGGCUCGAGUCCGGAAGAGGCGAGUGGAAUUCCUGGUGUAGCGGUGAAAUGCGCAGAUAUCAGGAGGAACACCAAUGGCGAAGGCAGCUCGCUGGGACGUGACUGACGCUGAGACGCGAAAGCGUGGGGAGCAAACAGG
Molecule: ribosomal RNA, 255 nt
Filed under: uncultured bacterium
Lineage: Bacteria
Description: partial 16S ribosomal RNA
Rfam family: Bacterial small subunit ribosomal RNA
Source: RNAcentral